Long non-coding RNA from Brassica napus (rape), 2175 nucleotides. RefSeq lists it as uncharacterized. Lineage: Eukaryota; Viridiplantae; Streptophyta; Magnoliopsida; Brassicales; Brassicaceae. The transcript is spliced from 6 exons. The record is from RefSeq and is a predicted model, not a curated record.
UUUCUGAUUCGAAGACCAGGAUGCUCCUCCACCGUUCAAGUGUGGUUGCUCCGUUUCUAAGAGGCCAGGAACGUCCGACGCGGUGGGAGUGGAUAUGCUCCUACUCAAUUCACAGGCGAUCAUGAUGUCGGGGCACCGUGAAUGUCAACCGUAAAACAUUGAGAGAGUACAUGUCGUCUAAGGGCCAUAUACCAAAAGCGUAAGGCAUUGUUUUAAAAAGUUGGUUGAGUCCACCAAAACUCUCGCAUCAGCAUGUAUGUAUAGACCAUGUUUCCUGUUAGUUUUUUUUAAUUCAAUAUUAAAGUUUAAUAAGCUCACUUUGUUGAAAACCAAGGCUCAAGAAAUGCUGAAGAACAAUGAGAUUACCAACCCGGUUGCUACCAUGAAUUUAGAUUUGGGUUGUGGCCACAGCUUGGAUUGGUUUCCUCUCAUAUUCAUCAUCAAAUUGCUUUCUGCAGUCUCCAAGUCAAAUAUUCCUAAGAGGAAGAAGAUAUACAGCCGUAAAAAAAGAACCAAGCAUUGGAUAUCGACGAGCCAAACGCCACCAUCCUCACCAUUAAAACAAUAUAAACUAUAGCUUCAGGAGACCGGAAAGGUGGUUUCUAUUUACCUUUUUGGGCUCUAAAGACUUAUUACAGUUAUUAGUUUUUGCUGAAGAAGAUGAGCAGAGUUGUUCUUAAACUCAUGUUUAUAGCGUUAAACUCACUUCAAGCACUGAAAUUCAUUCAUCCAUCGCCAUUCGCUUCACCUUUCUUGCGAAGUUCAUUGAAAUUACCACCCCACCUACUACAAUUUUCACAGAGCUCUUUAGGUUCCAAAACUUCGGACAUCUGACGUCAUUGGCAAAGACAAAUACUCAGUUUCCAGACAUCAGCCUCAUCAAGACAACCCUCAAUGACGAUGCCCAGACAACUCCCUUAUAGCCAUUUAUUUUCCGUCGAGGAAGGUUCACAAUCUUUUGCUACUGUGGCAUAAUCCAGGUGCUUCGAAAUUAUAUGAUUAUAUUUUCAAUGCGACUGCUUGAUUCUAUGAUUUCUUUCAUUUUGGAAUAACAAACCUUCUUAGUCAGUGUUAGAUUUGAAAGCCCGAUCACUUUUUUUUGUUUGGUUUUGUGUUCAUAAGUUGAAAACCGUAAGAACUACGCUUCAAAUGAUUCAAAACCAUAAACAAGUGACAAAGAUGAAUUAAGUAACAUCAAUGGGUCAGAGCGAGAACGAUAAGAACAAUCAGCGGACGACAGAAAGUAAAACCAGGAAGAAACCAAGACUCUAGAUUCUGCAAAGCUUGAAAAGAGAUUACAGAUCAACACACAAGUCCUGAUUUUGGUUUACAAGGUCAUCAACAGCACGCUAAUCCCAUGACAUCUGUAAGGAAGAUACAAGGAGACCAGAAAGCCUCAAGAGGAACAAUCACUCACUAGAUGAAUCAAGAGCACAAAUUGGUAGAGAUAUUCUUAAGUAACGACAUGAUUAUCGUCCAUCAAUGUCUGCUUUCAGUUACUCCUCUUUCACAAUUUUCUUAAUUUAUGUAAGAAUGAAUAGCUAUACAAAUAUAUUCUCUUAUAAAUAAUUGAAAUCCAAGAAUAAAAAAAAAAUUAUUAGAGGUUUAAUCAGUUGUGAAAUUAACAAAUAUUUUAAUUAAAAUUAAUUAAGUAUGAUAAAAAUGAUUAGAUCAUAAUUCUUCUCUGUUUCAGAUAAAUAUUUUUUUUGGAAAAACCAGUUAAACAAGAAAAAUCUGCUAUAUUUACAUAGAUAUAUUUAAUAUUUUAUAUAAAAGAAUACAAAGAUCCACAAGUUGAAGUUGAACACAAUUAAUAUAUUUACAUAUCUUUGACAAACAUUUUAUUUUCUAAAAUGCCACGGAAAAUAUCUUAAACUUCUAUAAUUUUUAUUAAAAUAUAAAAUAUAUAUUAGAUACUCACAUUUAAAAAUAUUAUUAAAAUUACUUAAAAUAAAUAAUAUUAGAAAAUUUCCAAAGCUGUGUCCCUCUAUUUUAUUUUUAGUCGUUUUUCAAUUUAUUUGUUCAAUAUUAUGCAAAAAUAUUCAUAAUAUUAAUAUAUUAAAAUAAACUGAUAAAAUAAUUUAUAUCAUAUAACCUAAAGAUAAAGGAAAACAUGUUAGGAUCUUCUGUAAAUUAAUUACUUAAGUAAUUUAAAUCUGUUACUUAAUUAUAUUA